GGCCCUUCGGGGUACACGAGUGGCGAACGGGUGAGUAACACGUGGGUAAUCUGCCCUGCACUUCGGGAUAAGCCUGGGAAACUGGGUCUAAUACCGGAUAUGAGCUCCUGCCGCAUGGUGGGGGUUGGAAAGUUUUUCGGUGCAGGAUGAGUCCGCGGCCUAUCAGCUUGUUGGUGGGGUAAUGGCCUACCAAGGCGACGACGGGUAGCCGGCCUGAGAGGGUGAUCGGCCACACUGGGACUGAGACACGGCCCAGACUCCUACGGGAGGCAGCAGUGGGGAAUAUUGCACAAUGGGCGGAAGCCUGAUGCAGCGACGCCGCGUGGGGGAUGACGGUCUUCGGAUUGUAAACUCCUUUCAGUAGGGACGAAGCGAGAGUGACGGUACCUGCAGAAGAAGCACCGGCCAACUACGUGCCAGCAGCCGCGGUAAUACGUAGGGUGCAAGCGUUGUCCGGAAUUACUGGGCGUAAAGAGCUCGUAGGCGGUUUGUCACGUCGUCUGUGAAAUCCUCCAGCUCAACUGGGGGCGUGCAGGCGAUACGGGCAGACUUGAGUACUACAGGGGAGACUGGAAUUCCUGGUGUAGCGGUGAAAUGCGCAGAUAUCAGGAGGAACACCGGUGGCGAAGGCGGGUCUCUGGGUAGUAACUGACGCUGAGGAGCGAAAGCAUGGGGAGCGAACAGGAUUAGAUACCCUGGUAGUCCAUGCCGUAAACGGUGGGCGCUAGGUGUGGGGUCCUUCCACGGAUUCCGUGCCGUAGCUAACGCAUUAAGCGCCCCGCCUGGGGAGUACGGCCGCAA
RNAcentral lists this ribosomal RNA (801 nucleotides) under Dietzia psychralcaliphila. RNAcentral's name for it is "bacterial SSU rRNA". It matches the Rfam family "Bacterial small subunit ribosomal RNA", at positions 74 to 891 of the family's 1533-position model. The record is from RNAcentral. Lineage: Bacteria; Bacillati; Actinomycetota; Actinomycetes; Mycobacteriales; Dietziaceae.